CCUACGGGUGGCAGCAGUGGGGAAUAUUGGACAAUGGGGGGAACCCUGAUCCAGCCAUGCCGCGUGUGUGAAGAAGGCCCUCGGGUUGUAAAGCACUUUCAGUGAGGAAGAACGCCUGGUGGUUAAUACCCAUCAGGAAAGACAUCACUCACAGAAGAAGCACCGGCUAACUCCGUGCCAGCAGCCGCGGUAAUACGGAGGGUGCGAGCGUUAAUCGGAAUUACUGGGCGUAAAGCGCGCGUAGGUGGCUUGAUAAGCCGGUUGUGAAAGCCCCGGGCUCAACCUGGGAACGGCAUCCGGAACUGUCAAGCUAGAGUGCAGGAGAGGAAGGUAGAAUUACCGGUGUAGCGGUGAAAUGCGUAGAGAUCGGGAGGAAUACCAGUGGCGAAGGCGGCCUUCUGGACUGACACUGACACUGAGGUGCGAAAGCGUGGGUAGCAAACAGGAUUAGAUACCCUGGUAGUC
Molecule: ribosomal RNA, 465 nt
Filed under: Vreelandella stevensii
Lineage: Bacteria; Pseudomonadati; Pseudomonadota; Gammaproteobacteria; Oceanospirillales; Halomonadaceae
Description: partial 16S ribosomal RNA
Rfam family: Bacterial small subunit ribosomal RNA
Source: RNAcentral